Myotis brandtii (Brandt's bat) is the source of this 75-nucleotide non-coding RNA. Lineage: Eukaryota; Metazoa; Chordata; Mammalia; Chiroptera; Vespertilionidae. The record is from Rfam.
GACGGUUCUCGGGUGAGGCACCCUGGAAUCGGGCUCCCUCUCUCUGGUUCCAGGAUGGGUCACCCGAGAACUGCU